AGAGCUGAAGAGGCACCAUGAAGCUGAAAGGUCACCUUGGGUUCCUUUGAAGGGAAGGAUACAGAGUCCAGCCAGUGCUCAUUCCUGUUGGUGGUCUUCUUCCAGAAGCCUAAAGUAGUGGUUCUCAAACUUGAGCACUGGCUUUGAGAGCUUCUCAAGUUUCCAGAUGAUGCUGAUGCUGCUGGUCCAGGGACCAGAAUUUGAGAAGCACUGACCAAGAGGAUGAAUGAUGGAGUACGCUUUGCAGCAGAGACCAACAGCAGCCACCCGGACUCAGUUGACUUUCUGCUUACUCUGGCUUAUUUAUUCUCCAUAUGCUCCCCAUCAUCACUGAAGUAUCCUGGAUCAUUCAUUUAUGGAGGGAACCACAUUUUUACCUUAUAGGCUAGAGCUCUCUGUGGGAGAGCGGUGGGGUUUUAUAAUUUAUCAACUAUGAGGAGCUCACUAUUUCAUACCCAUGGCUGUUUAGAAUGCUUAAGAGAACACAGAAGCUCCCUGAGGUGCGGCCCUUUUUUAUGCUGGAUCUCCAACACUGGAAGCAAAAGGAAGUCCCAAACAGAAACUAUAUGCAGUGCUGAAUCUACAGUGGCUCUGAGAACUUUUAACUAAUGGGCACUUGUAAAUCUCACAACAUUUCCUACUGGCGUGAAUGCCCUGGGUAAAAUGCUCAUUAAACUGUCAGCCAGCAGAGAGGUGUCGUUGCUGGAAAGAGAGUCACAGCAUCCAGGGGUGGAAAGAGGCCUCCCUGGGCCACCAGGGCCCUCCUCUCCCCCAUUCACCCACCACCAACCCCAGACUCAAACCCUCCUUUCAAAGCCUUUCAGAGGAUGUUACAACUCUCCUUCACCUCCACCAGGAAAUUAUUCUUUUUCUCCAAUCCAAAUAUAUAUAUAUAUAUUCAUGUUUAA
This is a long non-coding RNA of Homo sapiens (human), 908 nucleotides long. RefSeq lists it as uncharacterized. NCBI's taxonomy places the organism in Eukaryota, Metazoa, Chordata, Mammalia, Primates, Hominidae. The record is from RefSeq and is a predicted model, not a curated record. The transcript has 2 exons.